This 485-nucleotide long non-coding RNA is filed under the name Elaeis guineensis (African oil palm). RNAcentral's name for it is "long non-coding RNA (EGUI_LNC040814)". The record is from RNAcentral. Lineage: Eukaryota; Viridiplantae; Streptophyta; Magnoliopsida; Arecales; Arecaceae.
ACUUCUCACUUAUCCCAUUGUUGCCAUUACAUCCAGUGGUAAACUCUUAAGACCUGAUCUUAUCCCGUGUUAAGAAGGUUGACUGGCAGUGUUUCUGUAAAUAUCUUCAAUAUCUUCUUUCAGUAAUUUUCACUGUUACAUCUAUCUCGAAGUUAAUGUGGCCACCCGAUCACUUUGGUAUUAUUCAGUCUUUAAAGCACAUCAUGUUGACGGGAAGAUGCAAUAUUCAGAGGACUACAUGUACUCAUCAUGAUUUCAUUGCCAUUUUUCCUCGUUGGCCUAUCGAGUCACAUAUCUCCAAAUGCCUCAUGGUUUAUAACCAUCAGCCAUGUUGGGUGCAGGUUCUUACCCACGUAGUGGGAGUGCAUGUAGCAUUUGGAUUUCCUGAAAGAAUUUUACAAUGCACAGAUAUCAUCAAGGAGGUGUUUAGUUUGCAAUUGAAAUCAGAAUGAAAAUAGAAAUCGAAAUGGCUUGGAAUAGGAAUC